UACAGAGGGUGCGAGCGUUAAUCGGAAUUACUGGGCGUAAAGCGUGCGUAGACGGCUAUCUAAGUCGGGUGUGAAAGCCCCGGGCUCAACCUGGGAAUUGCAUUCGAGACUGAAUAGCUAGGGUACGGUAGAGGGAAGCGGAAUUUCCGGUGUAGCGGUGAAAUGCGUAGAUAUCGGAAGGAACACCGGUGGCGAAAGCGGCGCGCUGGACCCCUUCUGACGCUGAGGCGCGAAAGCCAGGGGAGCAAACGGG
Molecule: ribosomal RNA, 253 nt
Filed under: uncultured bacterium
Lineage: Bacteria
Description: partial 16S ribosomal RNA
Rfam family: Bacterial small subunit ribosomal RNA
Source: RNAcentral